This 460-nucleotide ribosomal RNA is filed under the name uncultured bacterium. RNAcentral describes it as "partial 16S ribosomal RNA". It matches the Rfam family "Bacterial small subunit ribosomal RNA", at positions 338 to 795 of the family's 1533-position model. The record is from RNAcentral.
CCUACGGGCGGCUGCAGUGAGGAAUAUUGGUCAAUGGGCGGGAGCCUGAACCAGCCAAGCCGCGUGAAGGAAGAAGGCGCCAGGCGUCGUAAACUUCUUUUGUCGGGGAACAAAGGGCGCCACGCGUGGCGUUGUGAGUGUACCCGAAGAAAAAGCAUCGGCUAACUCCGUGCCAGCAGCCGCGGUAAUACGGAGGAUGCGAGCGUUAUCCGGAUUUACUGGGCGUAAAGAGAGCGUAGGCGGCACUACAAGUCUCAUGUGAAAUACCCGGGCUUAACUUGGGGGUUGCAUGGGAAACUGUAGAGCUUGAGUACAGGAGAGGCAAGCGGAAUUCCUGGUGUAGCGGUGAAAUGCAUAGAUAUUAGGAGGAACACCAGUGGCGAAGGCGGCUUGCUGGACUGAAACUGACGCUGAGGCUCGAAAGCGUGGGGAGCAAACAGGAUUAGAUACCCUAGUAGUC